Molecule: long non-coding RNA, 1442 nt
Organism: Hemicordylus capensis (graceful crag lizard)
Lineage: Eukaryota; Metazoa; Chordata; Lepidosauria; Squamata; Cordylidae
Exons: 4
Source: RefSeq, a predicted model, not a curated record
UCAAAUCAAUCCAGAAUUUUCACUUAAGGCACAGGUGACCAGGAACAAACUAUUAUACUUCCGACACAUUAUGCAAAAAACCAGCUCCCUUGAGAAGUCCAUAAUGCUGGGGAAAAGGUUGAAAGAAAAAGAAGAAGAGGAUGACCAGCAGCAAGCCGGAUGGACUCGCUGGGGAAAAGGUUGAAAGAAAAAGAAGAGCAUGACCAGCAGCAAGGCGGAUGGACUCGAUUACAACAACACCGAAUGCACCACUGAGAGACUUUAAAGGCCAAGCUGAAGACAGAUCAUCCUGGAGAGAAUCUAUCUAUUUAAUGAAUCAACUGAUUCUAUUUAGUAGCUUUUGCAGUUUGUUUGUUUGUUUGGGCAUAUGUCCCAAGGGGGAUCCUGUAGAGAGUGUGGGGGAGAAGUCAAGAGGAAAAGAGAGGGAAAGGGAAGGAGAAAAUGGAGUUGUUGCUGAAUAAACCUUUAGUUCAAUCUACUUAAGAUUUCCUUUUGUGUAUGAGGAAAGCAGCUACAAAACACUAUUCUGAAGAAUACAAUCACCAUUUGGUUAGAGAGCAGCUUCCUCCGGUACAAGGCACAGACUGAAGAAAGUCCAAUUUCAUCUAUGGAUCAGAAAAUACAAGAUGUUUAACAUGUCUUUGAAUCCCAUGCUUGGGAUUUUCCAUGUCUUAUUUUCAACCAGAAGAGCCACAGGAGCCCCUACUCCAGAUCAGGAUAGUGCUACACCAGGCGAGUGGAUAUGAACUAUUCUCUUCUGACAAAUAUCACCCUUGAAGUUGACACCUUUGAAGACUCUGAAAAGCAAGCAUUAGUUUUGACAACUGCACAGCUGAAGAAAGAGGUGAAAUUGGAAACCACACAUCCUCAUGGACAGUCCAGUUGAAAGCCACACCUCGAUCAUGUCUCCCCUGUUUUCCAAGGCUGAUGAAGCUUUGUGGGCGAAACGGCACAUAUCCGGAAGAGCCGUUCGACUUUGAUUCAUGAAUGACAUUGAUUCAUGAAGUUUGUUUUUCUCCACAAGGACAAGCAGUGGGCUUUAUCUCUGAUCCAGGUCAGCUUAUUUAUGGAAGCAUGCUCGACGGGUUCUCUGCUAUCAGCACGUUUGUGAUUUUACAUCUUCACCUCUGUGCGGACGGUAUUGAGCAUUUUGCCACUGAGGACGUCCACACCUCUUUCUGAGACCACGUCUGACUCAGUGCUUUUGUCAUCUGCCACUUCCAUUUUGAUUUUGAUACUUGAUUUUGCCUAUUUCAUCCUGCAGUCCAAUUUUUGCCUGUCUCAGUCACACCUCCUUCCUUAGCUUUUGAUUGUUAUUGCACAUGCCUUUGUUUAUGUAUUCUGCAUUAUGAGAAGCCAAUUUGUGUAUUGUUUAUUAAUGUUAUGGAUCAUUUAUUACUGACUUAUUAUUUCUGAAUAUAUAUUUCUAGUGUUUAUUUAUA